UAUACAUACCCUAACAAGAAGGUAAUCAGUCCUGAUCUAUACAUACCCUAACAAGAAGGUAAUCAGUCCUGAUCUAUACAUACCCUAACAAGAAGGUAAUCAGUCCUGAUCUAUACUGAUCUAUACAUACCCUAACAACAAGGUAAUCAGUCCUGAUCUAUACUGAUCUAUACAUACCCUAACAACAAGGUAAUCAGUCCUGAUCUAUACAUACCCUAACAAGAAGGUAAUCAGUCCUGAUCUAUACAUACCCUAACAA
Sander lucioperca (pikeperch) is the source of this 259-nucleotide long non-coding RNA. RefSeq lists it as uncharacterized. The transcript is spliced from 2 exons. NCBI's taxonomy places the organism in Eukaryota, Metazoa, Chordata, Actinopteri, Perciformes, Percidae. The record is from RefSeq and is a predicted model, not a curated record.